AGGAUAAACGCUGGCGGCGUGCCUUAUGCAUGCAAGUCGAACGCCCCACCGCAAGGUGGGGAGUGGCAAACGGGUGUGUAAUACGUAAGUAACCUGCCCUCAAGUGGGGAACAACUCUGAGAAAUCGGGGCUAAUACCGCGUGUGAUUCUUGACCGUAGGGUCAGGAAUUAAAGCCUUCGGGCGCUUGAGGAGGGGCUUGCGUCCUAUCAGGUAGUUGGUGGGGUAACGGCUCACCAAGCCGAUGACGGGUAGCUGGUCUGAGAGGAUGGUCAGCCACACUGGGACUGCGACACGGCCCAGACUCCUACGGGAGGCAGCAGCAAGGAAUAUUGUGCAAUGGGCGAAAGCCUGACACAGCGACGCCGCGUGAGGGAUGAAGGCCUUCGGGUCGUAAACCUCUUUUCUCAGGGAGGAGUAAGGACAGUACCUGAGGAAUAAGCCACGGCUAACUACGUGCCAGCAGCUGCGGUAAAACGUAGGUGGCGAGCGUUAUCCGGAUUUAUUGGGCGUAAAGAGGGCGCAGGCGGCCUGGUAAGUCGAAUGUGAAAUCUCCCGGCUUAACUGGGAGGGGUCAUUCGAUACUAUCAAGCUGGAGUGCGACAGGGGGAGGUAGAAUUCCCGGUGUAGUGGUGAAAUGCGUAGAUAUCGGGAGGAAUACCAGUGGCGAAGGCGGCCUCCUGGGUCGUUACUGACGCUUAAGCCCGAAAGCGUGGGGAGCAAACAGGAUCAGAUACCCUGGUAGUCCACGCUGUAAACUAUGGACACUGGGUAUGGGGAGUAUCGACCCUCUCCGUGCCGAAGUUAACGCGUUAAGUGUCCCGUCUGGAAACUACGGCCGCAAGGCUAAAACU
RNAcentral lists this ribosomal RNA (852 nucleotides) under uncultured bacterium. RNAcentral's name for it is "bacterial SSU rRNA". It matches the Rfam family "Bacterial small subunit ribosomal RNA", at positions 26 to 901 of the family's 1533-position model. The record is from RNAcentral.